CCGUGGUGUGUGCAUAUAUUCACUAUUUGAGGAAUAUCCAUCCUCCUCAAAUGAUGCACGUUCAUGUUCAGAGAUACCUACAUCAUUCUCAUUAUCAUCACUGUCAGAAUUACCCACAUCAGCCUGAUCAGAGAUACCCACAUCCUGCUCCACGAAUUCGGUGUCUUGACUGUCAAGUAUUUCAUGCUUGAAAAAGAUCUCCAUUUCAUAGUCUCCAUCACUAUUUUUCCUUCCAACACUCAACAGUGUAUCUAUCAUGUAAUUAAUGUC
This 270-nucleotide long non-coding RNA is filed under the name Lupinus mutabilis. RNAcentral describes it as "partial ncRNA". Lineage: Eukaryota; Viridiplantae; Streptophyta; Magnoliopsida; Fabales; Fabaceae. The record is from RNAcentral.